AGAACAGAAUUUUACUUUGCAUGUAAUUAAAGAAUAUACACUAUAUUCCUGUUUUA
RNAcentral lists this transfer RNA (56 nucleotides) under Ceraphronidae sp. ZJUH_2016007. Its description in RNAcentral is "tRNA-Ala". The record is from RNAcentral. Lineage: Eukaryota; Metazoa; Arthropoda; Insecta; Hymenoptera; Ceraphronidae.